GUGAAAUAUACGCGUAAGAGAAGAUUUUCUCUCGAAAAAACGAACUGUCAACAAUCGGCAUGGAACUGGGAUAUUCGUAUCAAAGGGCUCUGAAUGCAGGAAAAUGACUGAAUAUUACUUAGUCAACAACACUGGGUUAUGAAGAAUUCCAGCCUGCAUUAAAUACUAUGUUGGAUCCUUGAGAGCGGAUUUGACAGCCAUGUCCAUCCACAAGGCAGUCGCAUCUGAUUGAGAUGAUCACUAAACAUUCUUGAUGGGUAAAGUACCUGAAGGUGCAUGAAAACCAAAUCAGCAUUGACUCAGCAUUGAGUUAUCAUCUGUGCACACACUACAAGUACAAAGCAUGGGAACAGACCAAACUUCAAAUG
Molecule: long non-coding RNA, 368 nt
Organism: Mya arenaria
Lineage: Eukaryota; Metazoa; Mollusca; Bivalvia; Myida; Myidae
Exons: 3
Source: RefSeq, a predicted model, not a curated record